CGGGAAGGCAGCAGUGAGGAAUAUUGGACAAUGGAGGCAACUCUGAUCCAGCCAUGCCGCGUGCAGGAAGACUGCCCCAUGGGUUGUAAACUGCUUUUAUAUAGGAAGAAACCUUGGUACGUGUACCAAGCUGACGGUACUAUAAGAAUAAGGAUCGGCUAACUCCGUGCCAGCAGCCGCGGUAAUACGGAGGAUCCAAGCGUUAUCCGGAAUCAUUGGGUUUAAAGGGUCCGUAGGUGGAUAAUUAAGUCAGAGGUGAAAUCUUGCAGCUCAACUGUAAAAUUGCCUUUGAUACUGGUUAUCUUGAGUUAUUAUGAAGUAGUUAGAAUAUGUAGUGUAGCGGUGAAAUGCAUAGAUAUUACAUAGAAUACCAAUUGCGAAGGCAGAUUACUAAUAAUCAACUGACACUGAUGGACGAAAGCGUGGGUAGCGAACAGGAUUAGAUACCCUGAUAGUCCACGUCGUAAACGAUGGUUACUAGCUGUUUGGGCUUUAUGUCUGAGUGGCUAAGCGAAAGUGAUAAGUAACCCACCUGGGGAGUACGUUCGCAAGAAUGAAACUCAAAUGAAUUGACGG
RNAcentral lists this ribosomal RNA (576 nucleotides) under uncultured bacterium. RNAcentral describes it as "bacterial SSU rRNA". It matches the Rfam family "Bacterial small subunit ribosomal RNA", at positions 341 to 916 of the family's 1533-position model. The record is from RNAcentral.